CAAAAUGUCAGACAUAUAUGCCCUGAUCCAAACAGUCCCAGGUUGACAUUUACUGCAUUGUCAAAUAAUAAGGGAACUCCAAUAACUACAUGGUACUAGAGUUCUUCAAUUCAUAGAGUAGAAGAUGCAAAGUAUCUAGUAGUGGGAUGGGAAGUUGAUAAUAAGUAGAAGCUUGACCAAAACAUAGUUAAAAUAUCAGUAGUCUGGUGAAAUAAACUUUAGUAGCUGCUUUUUAUGAAUCAAACACAUGCAGAUCCAUCAACUUCUUUAACUUUGAAACGAAUCAAUUUCAUGUCAGAUUUAUUGAAUAACUCAAAGCUGUGAGGACCUAACUUAUCUACCUCUUUAAGAAUUGGCGAAGAAAAGAGAGUUUGAUGUACUCAUGAUGCUGUUAUAAAGCAAUUUAAAGCUUGAUGGGAGUUUCAACUUGAAAAGAAGCCAUUAUUCAUGACUGAGAAAAUAAAGCAAACAACAUUAAAAGCAAAACACAAGCUCUCUGGUAAGUAGCCAAAAUGCAUUUAGACUUGGUGGAGCAAGAGAUACAUGAGGACAAAAGAAGUGAAAAAGGAAACAGCUGUGAAGGUGUUGGACAAUGAGAAAAGACACAAAUCAACUGGGGUAUGGCAUGUUGAAUGGUAACUACUUAGAGCUUAAGGGACAAGUCAAGCUUCUGCAACUUCUCUUGUUUAGACUUCAAAUGAGCAAAGCUACCAAAACAGUGACCUCCAAAUCCCUCUGUCACUACCCUUGUGGAAAACUUGCCUACUUUUGGAACACUAUCAGCCAAGGAUGACUCAGAUUCUGCCCCCACACGAAAAUUUCCAAUUGCUGGUUGAGAAUCCAAAGGCUGCCUCUGCCACCCAUUGGAACGGCACAACCCAAAAAUGGGUGCUUGAUGAGAAGGUUUGUUAAUCAUGGCAUGAACCUGAAUUCCAAGUGAUUUGUUGUAUAAGCCGUGAGAAGGAAGAAAAGGCAUGGUGGAAUACGUGUGUCCAAAAUCUGCUGCACCUGCUUUGUAUCCUCUUCUUGCUAAAGUUCUUUCACGUUUGUGUGCAUUCUGGUGUCCCCCCAGUGCCUGAGAACUAUAAAACUUUCUUUGGCAGUAGUUGCAUGAGAAAACCCGGGGAUCCAGUUCAUUUCCCUGACUAGAUUCUGAUGAAUUUUCAGAGAAAUUCGUAUGGAAACAAUUGAGGAGGUUGAGUUCUGGCUUUGACUCAUCAUCAUCACCUGAAUCCUUGUUGGAGAGACUUAGAUCUAGUAAGACACGAGGAUUUGAGUCAUUUGGGUGCUUUUGAUCAUCACUUUCUGUGUGAUUCCUCUUUCUUUGAGUGUCUAUGGAAGAUCUUUGGCAUGGCAUAGUAUCUGAAAAUGUGAUCAUGUUCAAGCUCUCAGAAGGGCAUGGCUCUUGCCUUUGAAGAUCCAUGUGGCAAGAAAUUUGCAAUAAUUGCCUCAGUGGUGGUGUUGGUUAUGGAAGUUUGGUUUAACAGGAAGAACAAGAAAAAGAACAAGAACAAGAACAAGAACAAGAAAGAUGGAGUUUGUGAGUGAUGUAACAACAAUAAAUGUAAAGUGGCUUUUUCAUGGAGGCUCUUGUGGCUAAUUUCAAGAUGUAAUCAUUGGAGGCCUUCUGUUUCUGUGUUUGUUCACCAUUCUUUAGACGAAGCUUCUAAUCACACAAGCAAGCAACAACCAUAGAUUUGAAGUGCCUUAAAGCCAUGCAAGAGGAAUAUGCUGCUCUCAUUGCCAAUUACACCUGGACAUUGGUGUCACCACUUCCCAAUGUCGAUGUAGUAGGUAGGCCCUACGUAACUAAGGAUGUGAAAUGGUGUGCACUUUAUGUUUCACACUCAUUUACUCCAUUGCAAUUUAAGAAAAGAAAAAGUCCA
This 1886-nucleotide small RNA is filed under the name Vigna angularis var. angularis. RNAcentral's name for it is "Non-protein coding transcript". Lineage: Eukaryota; Viridiplantae; Streptophyta; Magnoliopsida; Fabales; Fabaceae. The record is from RNAcentral.